RNAcentral lists this small RNA (1958 nucleotides) under Rattus norvegicus (Norway rat). Its description in RNAcentral is "uncharacterized LOC108349447". Lineage: Eukaryota; Metazoa; Chordata; Mammalia; Rodentia; Muridae. The record is from RNAcentral.
ACAAAACCAGGGUUGUAAUAUUUGCUUAGAGUUCUCUGCUUAGAGCCGAACAGGAUCCAACCGCCCUGUCUAGGAACAAACAGCUCCUGAAAGGAAGUGGCCCAGGCUCUCCUACCAGUUCUUUUAGUGGAGAUGACUGUUCAAUCGACUUAGGUUUCUGAAGGUCAAAGGCCAAGUUUACCGUUUCCUGUGUGAGCUUGAGUUCAUUGCUUAACUUAUCUGUGCCGUAGAGAGAUCUCAACAGCAUACCCUAUAAUAGAGAUUGUUCUGAGCCUGCCAAGGGAAUGUGAGCAAAUUUCUGGGGUUGGGACCAUAGCUGUCAAAGGGGCUAGUGUCAUCCACAGGUGAAGCAACUGAAGGUCUCUGGCUAGCUCACUCGAAGGGACAUACCCACCCGUCUGAAGCCAGCAGGCUGUGCCUUCCUUGAAGGCUAGGCCCUCCCCACAGCAGGAGAGCAUGUUAGGAGUGAAGCCCUGGACAAUGGUGGGUUAUAACAUUUGUGACUCAAGAGCUGCCCGGGAGUCUGGUGUGGAGAUAAGCCUAGCAAAUGACUGGCAAGGCACAUAAUUCAGUGUGGCACCGGGCAACAGGCCAGGGGAGGAAGAGGCACCACACAAACCUUGCAGCUCAGACACUCACAGCAAAGAGUGGUGGACCAGCCAGAGUCAGGCGCCGCCUUAUCUGCUCCCUGAGCGCUUUGCCUCUCUUGCCUCAGCUUCCUCUCUUGCAGAUGGAAUUCCAAAGGAGGUAAUGACAGCUGGGCCUGCCUCCCUUAUGGCUGGCUGCACUGAAGAACCCAGAAACCCAGGCCUGUGAGCAGUACCUUCAAGGCCGACUUGCCAUGAGAACAAAGCAGACAUUGCACUUCCUCCCCUGGGAUUCUGGGUCUGAUGGGACCUCAGAACCGCAGUCACAGCACACACCCCAGUCUGCAGUGUCCAGAUGCCCGACCGGUGCACGAGCUGGAGCUGAGGUUGUGGCUGACGGGCUCCACAUACCCUGAGGGACACUGUCAGCAACGCACUUCAGACAAGUGCUCUACAAAGACAGGAGAGACCAAGCAUGGUCCCCAAGACAGGGAUCCUGGAAGAUGGAAGUGGGGUACACAAAGAAGAAGGAGAAGUUAGCAGACAAAGAACAGAAAUGGUCCAGAAGGGCCUUGAAGUGGAAACUUAAGGAUUCUUCGGAAAGUCAGUUGGAUGCUGUUUUUGAAGUGGCAGACACGUGAAGGAACAUUUCGCUGAAGCAGACACAGGAGAGAGGAUGUUCUGCUAAAGCAAGCACGUGAAAAGGACACAUGACGAAGGACUUUUUGCUAACCACACAGAUGUCUGCCUUACAUUGCAUAGUCGAGCUGCAUUUGUCAGAACGCCAUAGAGAGAGAAACGCACCAAAAAACUUUAGUGGUGAGCUGAAGUUUGUUUCCGCUUCCAAGGACUCGGGCUGAUUGGAUGCACGGGCUGAGGCAAGGCACAUGGAGGACACGUGAUGUUUGGAGGAUAUACACAGGACUCUGAGGAGUGAUGGAGAGAGAGCUUGGUUUGCUGGUACAGCUAGCUGUGCAAUGCCUGUGGGUCUCUCCUGCUCACUGAUCUUCGCUUCCCUGAGAGAGACACAGCACAGAACUUCUCCUGGUGUCCCUCCGGGUUCCUCCUGCUGACUCGUGCUGAGGCCGAGCCCUGGCCCUCUCUGCCAGGUCAUGUCACCCAACUUUACUGAACUGGACCGCUGAUGUAUGUGUGAGGUGUUUACGAGUGGAUUGGACUGCUGCUGCUGCUGACCUGUAAACGGAACUGCCGAUUUCCAGACUACACAGACGGGAGUUGCUCCAAAGAACCUUUCUAAACAGGUCCACUUCCCCCAUAUCCUUUCUUUUCCAUUACCUCUGGUGCAUGGUGGGUUACAAGGAGCUUAAAGUGUUUAAGAACCAUCAUUAAAAAUAGGAUUUGAAAAGUUAA